GCAGUCGAACGGCAGCAUGAUCUACCUUGCUAGAUUGAUGGCGAGUGGCGAACGGGUGAGUAAUACAUCGGAACGUGCCCUGUAGUGGGGGAUAACUAGUCGAAAGAUUAGCUAAUACCGCAUACGACCUGAGGGUGAAAGUGGGGGACCGCAAGGCCUCAUGCUAUAGGAGCGGCCGAUGUCUGAUUAGCUAGUUGGUGAGGUAAAGGCUCACCAAGGCGACGAUCAGUAGCUGGUCUGAGAGGACGAUCAGCCACACUGGGACUGAGACACGGCCCAGACUCCUACGGGAGGCAGCAGUGGGGAAUUUUGGACAAUGGGCGAAAGCCUGAUCCAGCAAUGCCGCGUGUGUGAAGAAGGCCUUCGGGUUGUAAAGCACUUUUGUCCGGAAAGAAAUGGCUCUGGUUAAUACCUGGGGUCGAUGACGGUACCGGAAGAAUAAGGACCGGCUAACUACGUGCCAGCAGCCGCGGUAAUACGUAGGGUCCAAGCGUUAAUCGGAAUUACUGGGCGUAAAGCGUGCGCAGGCGGUUGUGCAAGACCGAUGUGAAAUCCCCGGGCUUAACCUGGGAAUUGCAUUGGUGACUGCACGGCUAGAGUGUGUCAGAGGGGGGUA
Molecule: ribosomal RNA, 616 nt
Filed under: Ralstonia pickettii
Lineage: Bacteria; Pseudomonadati; Pseudomonadota; Betaproteobacteria; Burkholderiales; Burkholderiaceae
Description: bacterial SSU rRNA
Rfam family: Bacterial small subunit ribosomal RNA
Source: RNAcentral